RNAcentral lists this unclassified non-coding RNA (255 nucleotides) under Hevea brasiliensis (rubber tree). The record is from RNAcentral. Lineage: Eukaryota; Viridiplantae; Streptophyta; Magnoliopsida; Malpighiales; Euphorbiaceae.
CAACCCUCCAGCGAGUGGAGCUUUCACAACGUCCGCCGCCUGCUGCCGACCGCGAACAUUGCGGCGUCGAAGCAUCCGGUCCCGCUGGAAAGUUCGCUGGUCGAAAUCGGCGACGUUGCCUUCGAAGGCAACAAGGGCCGGACCACAUUGCGCGAGGCGUUGCGCACGACGAACACCAAGGGGUUUCUCGUUCUGAGGCGCGGCCGGAUUGCAGCCGAGUGGUACGCAGGCGGCAUGGAUGCCACGACGCCGCAC